GACGAACGCUGGCGGCGUGCCUAAUACAUGCAAGUAGAACGCUGAAGGAGGAGCUUGCUUCUCUGGAUGAGUUGCGAACGGGUGAGUAACGCGUAGGUAACCUGCCUGGUAGCGGGGGAUAACUAUUGGAAACGAUAGCUAAUACCGCAUAAUAUUGACUAUUGCAUGAUAGUCAGUUGAAAGGUGCAACUGCACCACUACCAGAUGGACCUGCGUUGUAUUAGCUAGUUGGUGGGGUAACGGCUCACCAAGGCGACGAUACAUAGCCGACCUGGGAGGGUGAUCGGCCACACUGGGACUGAGACACGGCCCAGACUCCUACGGGAGGCAGCAGUAGGGAAUCUUCGGCAAUGGACGGAAGUCUGACCGAGCAACGCCGCGUGAGUGAAGAAGGUUUUCGGAUCGUAAAGCUCUGUUGUAAGAGAAGAACGAGUGUGAGAGUGGAAAGCUCACACUGUGACGGUAUCUUACCAGAAAGGGACGGCUAACUACGUG
Molecule: ribosomal RNA, 495 nt
Filed under: uncultured bacterium
Lineage: Bacteria
Description: partial 16S ribosomal RNA
Rfam family: Bacterial small subunit ribosomal RNA
Source: RNAcentral